Molecule: transfer RNA, 77 nt
Filed under: Sarcina sp. DSM 11001
Lineage: Bacteria; Bacillati; Bacillota; Clostridia; Eubacteriales; Clostridiaceae
Description: tRNA_Glu_TTC
Rfam family: tRNA
About the family: Transfer RNA (tRNA) molecules are approximately 80 nucleotides in length. Their secondary structure includes four short double-helical elements and three loops (D, anti-codon, and T loops). Further hydrogen bonds mediate the characteristic L-shaped molecular structure. tRNAs have two regions of fundamental functional importance: the anti-codon, which is responsible for specific mRNA codon recognition, and the 3' end, to which the tRNAs corresponding amino acid is attached (by aminoacyl-tRNA synthetases). tRNAs cope with the degeneracy of the genetic code in two manners: having more than one tRNA (with a specific anti-codon) for a particular amino acid; and 'wobble' base-pairing, i.e. permitting non-standard base-pairing at the 3rd anti-codon position.
Source: RNAcentral
GGCUCCGUCGUCUAAGCAGGUUAGGACACAGCCCUUUCAAGGCUGAAAAGCGGGUUCGAACCCCGUCGGAGCUACUA